UAACAACAACACCGGAAGCUUCAACGGAAAGCUUUAGGAAACGUCGUCGAGAAUUUCACAUGGCCGAAUUCACAAUUGCUAGAAACGGUAAAAAAAUGUCG
Molecule: long non-coding RNA, 101 nt
Organism: Drosophila navojoa
Lineage: Eukaryota; Metazoa; Arthropoda; Insecta; Diptera; Drosophilidae
Source: RefSeq, a predicted model, not a curated record